GUCGAGCGGUAACAGAUUGAUAGCUUGCUAUCAAUGCUGACGAGCGGCGGACGGGUGAGUAAUGCCUGGGAAUAUGCCCUGAUGUGGGGGAUAACUAUUGGAAACGAUAGCUAAUACCGCAUAAUCUCUUCGGAGCAAAGAGGGGGACCUUCGGGCCUCUCGCGUCAGGAUUAGCCCAGGUGGGAUUAGCUUGUUGGUGGGGUAAUGGCUCACCAAGGCAACGAUCCCUAGCUGGUCUGAGAGGAUGAUCAGCCACACUGGAACUGAGACACGGUCCAGACUCCUACGGGAGGCAGCAGUGGGGAAUAUUGCACAAUGGGGGAAACCCUGAUGCAGCCAUGCCGCGUGUAUGAAGAAGGCCUUCGGGUUGUAAAGUACUUUCAGUUGUGAGGAAGGCGUUGAAGUUAAUAGCUUCAGCGUUUGACGUUAGCAACAGAAGAAGCACCGGCUAACUCCGUGCCAGCAGCCGCGGUAAUACGGAGGGUGCGAGCGUUAAUCGGAAUUACUGGGCGUAAAGCGCAUGCAGGUGGUUUGUUAAGCAAGAUGUGAAAGCCCGGGGCUCAACCUCGGAACAGCAUUUUGAACUGGCAGACUAGAGUACUGUAG
Molecule: ribosomal RNA, 606 nt
Filed under: bacterium 4878K2-B38
Lineage: Bacteria
Description: bacterial SSU rRNA
Rfam family: Bacterial small subunit ribosomal RNA
Source: RNAcentral